UACGGAGGGUGCGAGCGUUAAUCGGAAUUACUGGGCGUAAAGCGCACGUAGGCGGUCAUGUAAGUGGGAUGUGAAACCCCCGGGCUUAACCUGGGACUUGCAUACCAGACUGCAUGGCUAGAGUAUGAGAGAGGGUGGUGGAAUUUCCGGUGUAGCGGUGAAAUGCGUAGAGAUCGGAAGGAACAUCAGUGGCGAAGGCGGCCACCUGGCUUAAUACUGACGCUGAGGUGCGAAAGCGUGGGGAUCAAACAGGAUUAGAAACCCUAGUAGU
Molecule: ribosomal RNA, 271 nt
Filed under: uncultured bacterium
Lineage: Bacteria
Description: partial 16S ribosomal RNA
Rfam family: Bacterial small subunit ribosomal RNA
Source: RNAcentral